This 76-nucleotide transfer RNA is filed under the name Streptomyces aureoverticillatus. RNAcentral's name for it is "tRNA-Arg". Lineage: Bacteria; Bacillati; Actinomycetota; Actinomycetes; Kitasatosporales; Streptomycetaceae. The record is from RNAcentral.
GGAGGAGAUGGUGCACGACGGCCGGCACGCGUGGCUGCGGCUCACUCCGGACGCGAUCGUCUCCUGGGACUUCCGC